This 86-nucleotide transfer RNA is filed under the name Gammaproteobacteria bacterium. RNAcentral describes it as "tRNA-Leu". It matches the Rfam family "tRNA". From Rfam's summary of the family: Transfer RNA (tRNA) molecules are approximately 80 nucleotides in length. Their secondary structure includes four short double-helical elements and three loops (D, anti-codon, and T loops). Lineage: Bacteria; Pseudomonadati; Pseudomonadota; Gammaproteobacteria. The record is from RNAcentral.
GCCCAGGUGUUGAAACUGGUAGACAAGCAGGACUUAGAAUCCUGUGCCCUUAGGGCGUGUGGGUUCGAAUCCCACCCUGGGCACCA